This 239-nucleotide ribosomal RNA is filed under the name uncultured Gemella sp. RNAcentral's name for it is "partial 16S ribosomal RNA". It matches the Rfam family "Bacterial small subunit ribosomal RNA", at positions 124 to 351 of the family's 1533-position model. The record is from RNAcentral. Lineage: Bacteria; Bacillati; Bacillota; Bacilli; Caryophanales; Gemellaceae.
CCUAGCCUCAUAGACUGGGACGAACUAUUGGAAACGAUAGCUAAUACCGGAUAACAGCAUUAACUGCAUGGUUGAUGUUUAAAAGUUGGUUUUUGCUAACACUAUGAGAUGGCUUUGCGGUGCAUUAGCUAGUUGGUGGGGUAAAGGCCUACCAAGGCGACGAUGCAUAGCCGACCUGAGAGGGUGAUCGGCCACACUGGGACUGAGACACGGCCCAAACUCCUACGGGAGGCAGAGGC